This 492-nucleotide ribosomal RNA is filed under the name uncultured bacterium. RNAcentral's name for it is "partial 16S ribosomal RNA". It matches the Rfam family "Bacterial small subunit ribosomal RNA", at positions 29 to 507 of the family's 1533-position model. The record is from RNAcentral.
AGUGAACGCUGGCGGUAGGCCUAACACAUGCAAGUCGAACGGCAGCAGAGUAAGUGCUUGCUCUGACGGGUGGCGAGUGGCGGGCGUGUGGGGAAGACAACGUGAUCGACUGUUGCGGGGGGGUUAACGUAGGGAAACUUACUCUAAUACCGCAUACGACCUACGGUGGAAAGCAUGGGAUCUUCGCACCUUGCGCGAUUCAAUGAGCCGAUGUCGUAUUGGCUAGUUGGCGGGGGAAAGGCCCACCAAGGGGACGUUCCGUAUCGGGUCUGGGAGGAUGAUCAGCAACACUGGACCUGAGAACCGGUCCAGACUCCUCCGGGAGGAACAAGUGGGGAAUAUUGGACAAUGGGCGAAAGCCGGACCCAGCCAUACCGCGUGGGUGAAAAAGGCCUUCGGGUUGUAAAGCCCUUUUGUUGGGAAAGAAAAGCAGCAGGUUAAUACCCCGCUGUUCUGACGGUACCCAAAGAAUAAGCAACGGCUAACUUCGUG